AGAGUUUGAUCAUGGCUCAGGACGAACGCUGGCGGCGUGCCUAAUACAUGCAAGUAGAACGCUGAAGACUGGUGCUUGCACUAGUCAGAUGAGUUGCGAACGGGUGAGUAACGCGUAGGUAACCUACCUCAUAGCGGGGGAUAACUAUUGGAAACGAUAGCUAAUACCGCAUGACAAUUAAGUACUCAUGUACUAAAUUUAAAAGGAGCAAUUGCUUCACUAUGAGAUGGACCUGCGUUUGUAUUAGCUAGUUGGUGAGGUAACGGCUCACCAAGGCCACGAUACAUAGCCGACCUGAGAGGGUGAUCGGCCACACUGGGACUGAGACACGGCCCAGACUCCUACGGGAGGCAGCAGUAGGGAAUCUUCGGCAAUGGGGGCAACCCUGACCGAGCAACGCCGCGUGAGUGAAGAAGGUUUUCGGAUCGUAAAGCUCUGUUGUUAGAGAAGAACGGUAAUGGGAGUGGAAAAUCCAUUACGUGACGGUAACUAACCAGAAAGGGACGGCUAACUACGUGCCAGCAGCCGCGGUAAUACGUAGGUCUCGAGCGUUGUCCGGAUUUAUUGGGCGUAAAGCGAGCGCAGGCGGUUAUUUAAGUCUGAAGUUAAAGGCCGUGGCUCAACCAUGGUUCGCUUUGGAAACUGGAUAACUUGAGUGCAGAAGGGGAGAGUGGAAUUCCAUGUGUAGCGGUGAAAUGCGUAGAUAUAUGGAGGAACACCGGUGGCGAAAGCGGCUCUCUGGUCUGUAACUGACGCUGAGGCUCGAAAGCGUGGGGAGCAAACAGGAUUAGAUACCCUGGUAGUCCACGCCGUAAACGAUGAGUGCUAGGUGUUAGGCCCUUUCCGGGGCUUAGUGCCGCAGCU
This 864-nucleotide ribosomal RNA is filed under the name uncultured bacterium. Its description in RNAcentral is "bacterial SSU rRNA". It matches the Rfam family "Bacterial small subunit ribosomal RNA", at positions 8 to 853 of the family's 1533-position model. The record is from RNAcentral.